Molecule: ribosomal RNA, 497 nt
Filed under: uncultured bacterium
Lineage: Bacteria
Description: partial 16S ribosomal RNA
Rfam family: Bacterial small subunit ribosomal RNA
Source: RNAcentral
GAUGAACGCUGGCGGCGUGCCUAACACAUGCAAGUCGAGCGGACAGACGAGGCUUUUGCUUGGCUGACGUGAGGGGCGGGCGGGUGAGGCACACGAGUAUACCUUACAUUUGAGGCUGGGAUCAGGUAGCGAGAGCGGAUACAGCAUCGGAUAAGAUAUUGAACGGGGGGGAUCAUUAGAGAUAGAGGGUUUUGCUGACACUAAUAGAGGGUUCCGAGCCGCAUUAGCUAGUUGGUAAGGUAACGGCUUACCAAGGCUACGAUGCGUAGCCGACCUGAGAGGGUGAUCGGCCACACUGGAACUGAGACACGGUCCAGACUCCUACGGGAGGCAGCAGUAGGGAAUAUUCGGCAAUGGGCGAAAGCCUGACCGAGCAACGCCGCGUGUGUGAAGAAGGUCUUCGGAUCGUAAAGCUCUGUUAUUAGGGAGGAACAGAUGUAUAAGUAUAUCUGGACGUCUUGACGGUACCUACUCAAAAAGCACCGGCUAACUACGUG